This 247-nucleotide ribosomal RNA is filed under the name uncultured bacterium. RNAcentral's name for it is "partial 16S ribosomal RNA". It matches the Rfam family "Bacterial small subunit ribosomal RNA", at positions 15 to 244 of the family's 1533-position model. The record is from RNAcentral.
GAUCAUGGCUCAGGAUGAACGCUAGCGACAGGCCUAACACAUGCAAGUCGAGGGGCAGCGGUAGAGGUAGCAAUACCUUUGCCGGUCGACCGGCGCACGGGUGAGUAACACGUAUGCAAUCCACCUGUAACAGGGGGAUAACCCGGGAGAAAAUCCGGACUAAAUACCCCCAUAAUAUGGGCUCUCCGCAUGGAGGGUCCAUUAAAGAGAGCAAUUUUAGGUUACAGACGAGCAUGCGCUCCAUUAG